GUUAGGAAUAUUGGACAAUGGGCGCAAGCCUGAUCCAGCCAUGCCGCGUGAGUGAUGAAGGCCUUCGGGUUGUAAAGCUCUUUAGCCGAUGAUUAUAAUGACUGUAGUCGGAAAAUAAGCCCCGGCUAACUUCGUGCCAGCAGCCGCGGUAAUACGAAGGGGGCGAGCGUUAUUCGGAAUCACUGGGCGUAAAGCGUGCGUAGGCGGCUUUGCAAGUUGGGAGUGAAAGCCCAGGGCUCAACCCUGGAAUUGCUCUCAAAACUGCAAGGCUAGAAUUCGGGAGAGGAUAGCGGAAUUGUCAGUGUAGCAGUGAAAUGCGUAGAUAUUGACAGGAACACCAGUGGCGUAAGCGGCUAUCUGGACCGAUAUUGACGCUGAGGCACGAAAGCGUGGGGAUCAAACAGGAUUAGAAACCCUAGUAGUCC
Molecule: ribosomal RNA, 425 nt
Filed under: uncultured bacterium
Lineage: Bacteria
Description: partial 16S ribosomal RNA
Rfam family: Bacterial small subunit ribosomal RNA
Source: RNAcentral